CCUUACACAUGACAAGUACGAACGGUAACGAGGUCGUUCGGAUGCUGGACGAGUGGCGGAACGGGUGAGUAAUACAGUACGGAACGUCGCCGAUCGGUAGGGGACGUAACGAAGACGAAAGUCUUUGACUAACUACCGCAUACGAUCGUACGGAUAGAAAGCGAGGGACGCAAGGCCUUGCGCGAACGGAGCGGCCGAUGGCAGAUUAGGUAGUUGGUGGGAUAAAAGCUUACCAAGCCGACGAUCUGUAGCUGGUCUGAGAGGACGACCAGCCACACUGGGACUGAGACACGGCCCAGACUCCUACGGGAGGCAGCAGUGGGGAAUUUUGGACAAUGGGCGAAAGCCUGAUCCAGCCAUGCCGCGUGCAGGAUGAAGGCCUUCGGGUUGUAAACUGCUUUUGUACGGAACGAAAAGACUCUGGUUAAUACCUGGGGCCCAUGACGGUACCGUAAGAAUAAGCACCGGCUAACUACGUG
This 479-nucleotide ribosomal RNA is filed under the name uncultured Comamonadaceae bacterium. Its description in RNAcentral is "bacterial SSU rRNA". It matches the Rfam family "Bacterial small subunit ribosomal RNA", at positions 47 to 507 of the family's 1533-position model. Lineage: Bacteria; Pseudomonadati; Pseudomonadota; Betaproteobacteria; Burkholderiales; Comamonadaceae. The record is from RNAcentral.